CGAACAGACCAAGAAAAUUGAAAUUCUACACCCAAAUCUUAUCUUAAUUCAACAUCGAGGUCGCAAACUUUUUCAUCGAUAUGAACUCUCCAAAAAAAUUACGCUGUUAUCCCUAAGGUAAGUUAAUCUUAUAAUCAAAAAUUCUGGAUCAAAAAAACAUAAAUAAAUGUUUAAAAAAAAUAAAAGUUAAAUAAAUUUUACUGUCGCCCCAACAAAACUUUUCAUUCAAAAAAAAGAUAUUUAUAAACUAAGAAAAUAAUUUUUUAAAAAAAGUAAACUUCUAAAGGGUCUUCUCGUCCUAUAUAAAAAUUUAAGCUUUUUAACUUAAAAAUUAAGUUUAAAUAAAUUAAAAAAAGAAAGUUAAUUUUUCAUCAAACCAUUCAUACUAGCCUUCAAUUUAAAGACAAAUGAUUAUGCUACCUUCGUACAGUUAAAAUACCGCAUCCUUUUAAUUCUUAAAAAUCAAUGGGCAGUCCCGAUCUUAC
RNAcentral lists this ribosomal RNA (485 nucleotides) under Microvelia horvathi. Its description in RNAcentral is "partial 16S ribosomal RNA". The record is from RNAcentral. Lineage: Eukaryota; Metazoa; Arthropoda; Insecta; Hemiptera; Veliidae.